RNAcentral lists this ribosomal RNA (253 nucleotides) under uncultured bacterium. RNAcentral's name for it is "partial 16S ribosomal RNA". It matches the Rfam family "Bacterial small subunit ribosomal RNA", at positions 524 to 776 of the family's 1533-position model. The record is from RNAcentral.
UACGGAGGGAGCUAGCGUUGUUCGGAAUUACUGGGCGUAAAGCGUGCGCAGGCGGUGAUGUAAGACAGAUGUGAAAUCCCCGGGCUCAACCUGGGAACUGCAUUUGUGACUGCAUCGCUGGAGUGCGGCAGAGGGGGAUGGAACUCCGCGUGUAGCAGUGAAAUGCGUAGAUAUGCGGAGGAACACCGAUGGCGAAGGCAAUCCCCUGGGCCUGCACUGACGCUCAUGCACGAAAGCGUGGGGAGCAAACAGG